AAUAAUUUAUUACUAAAAACUCAUAUAAUCUGAAGAAUAUGGCUUUGGAAGUUUCUACCGUGUUGCCUUAAACGACACGACUAUGAGUAAAUGAAUAACACUG
Non-coding RNA from Staphylococcus aureus C0673, 103 nucleotides. Lineage: Bacteria; Bacillati; Bacillota; Bacilli; Caryophanales; Staphylococcaceae. The record is from Rfam.